RNAcentral lists this long non-coding RNA (218 nucleotides) under Mytilus galloprovincialis (Mediterranean mussel). Lineage: Eukaryota; Metazoa; Mollusca; Bivalvia; Mytilida; Mytilidae. The record is from RNAcentral.
GGGGAAAUUCAGUUUUAAGGUCAUUUCUCAGAACAAUUUUUGAUGAGAAUUGUAAGGAAAAAAUGAAAAUAGAAACUUUAUGGGUACCCCCUUUGGCUUGACCUUGAUAUAUGUGAUUAAAGGGUGUAUUUUCUACAAUACCGUGUCCCAGUUUUUGGAUAACUUGUUUCUAAAUGAAUUUAUAGGUCUCCAAAGAUGAAAGGUGAAAUGAGGUUUGG